This 916-nucleotide ribosomal RNA is filed under the name uncultured fungus. RNAcentral describes it as "eukaryotic LSU rRNA". The stretch from base 268 to 916 matches the Rfam family "Eukaryotic large subunit ribosomal RNA", at positions 1 to 664 of the family's 3401-position model. The record is from RNAcentral. Lineage: Eukaryota; Fungi.
AUCGAUGAAGAACGCAGCGAAAUGCGAUAAGUAAUGUGAAUUGCAGAAUUCAGUGAAUCAUCGAAUCUUUGAACGCACAUUGCGCCCCUUGGUAUUCCGAGGGGCAUGCCUGUUCGAGCGUCAUUAUGACCAAUCAAGCCUGGCUUGGUGUUGGGGUUCGCGGUCUCGCGGCCCUUAAAAUCAGUGGCGGUGCCGCCUGGCUCUAAGCGUAGUAAUUUUCUCGCUAUUGGGUCCGGCGGUUGCUUGCCAGAAUCUCCAUCUCACGGUUGACCUCGGAUCAGGUAGGGAUACCCGCUGAACUUAAGCAUAUCAAUAAGCGGAGGAAAAGAAACCAACAGGGAUUGCCUCAGUAACGGCGAGUGAAGCGGCAACAGCUCAAAUUUGAAAUCUGGCUCUUUUAGGGUCCGAGUUGUAAUUUGUAGAAGAUGCUUUGGGUGAGGCUCCGGUCUAAGUUCCUUGGAACAGGACGUCAUAGAGGGUGAGAAUCCCGUACGUGACUGGUUGCCUUCGUCCGUGUAAAGCUCUUUCGACGAGUCGAGUUGUUUGGGAAUGCAGCUCAAAAUGGGUGGUAAAUUUCAUCUAAAGCUAAAUAUUGGCCAGAGACCGAUAGCGCACAAGUAGAGUGAUCGAAAGAUGAAAAGCACUUUGGAAAGAGAGUUAAACAGUACGUGAAAUUGUUGAAAGGGAAGCGCUUGCAACCAGACUUGCGCGCUGCUGAUCAUCCGAGGUUUUCCCCGGUGCACUCGGUAGCGCUCAGGCCAGCAUCGGUUUUGGCGGGCGGAUAAAGGCCUUGGGAAUGUAGCUUCUUUCGGGGAGUGUUAUAGCCCUCGGUGCAAUGCGCCCUGUCGGGACCGAGGACCGCGCUUCGGCUAGGAUGCUGGCGUAAUGGUUGUAAGCGACCCGUCUUGAAACACGG